Molecule: long non-coding RNA, 3693 nt
Filed under: Brassica napus (rape)
Lineage: Eukaryota; Viridiplantae; Streptophyta; Magnoliopsida; Brassicales; Brassicaceae
Description: long non-coding RNA (BNAP_LNC025612)
Source: RNAcentral
GAAUAAAAAUUAUGUUAUUUAUUGAUGAAAAUGUUGUGAAAAAGAAGAGAACUAAAAUGACAAGAUGGUUCACUUUCUUUAACUUUAAAAGGAAAAAAAAAUGAAGGAUCAGAAUAGUCCUCUUUUGCCUGUUUCAGUAAAGCCCCUUUCUUCAGUCACAUACAAACUUCUCUUAUGUACACAAAGUAAUCUCCAACCAACCAGUAGCAUCAUCUCUCAAUACCUAAACAAGUGAAACUAGAAGAAGGAGCCUAUGCAGAAAAAUUUGAAUGGAAAGAAGGGAAGAGAGACAGAUCACAGGGCAAUAAAGAGGGGGGGGGGAAUGAAUGAACAAAUCAUAAAGAGCUGACACUCUACACUAAUGAGGUUCCCUGGUUAUGAAUCAUCUUCUUAAGAAGUUAAGUGGGAUUAUUGGAGAAGUUUCACAAGGGUAAUGAGGAGUCCUAGAAGAGUGAUUCUUUCUAGUAUUAACCGCUAUAGUGCCUCACAGAGUACUCCAAUACUUCUUUGCUUGGACAGACAAUCUCCUUUACUCGAGUACCGUUUUUGUAUAUCUUCACUGUUGGUACAACCCUCACGUUCUCUGCAUUACCUAUCGAAGGACAUUUAUCGAUGUCCACCUAACCCAAAAAAGAUAGGUUUAGAGACAAUAGCUUCCUAAGUUAAAUUAUUAUAAAAUACUCCAUCUGUUCCUGAAAGUAAGAUUUUCUAUAGUAUGCACGCUUAUUAAAAAUUUAAUAAAUGUUUAUAAUUUAAUUUAUUUUUUACUUUCUUAUACACUUUCCAAUAAUUUUCCACCAAUAAAAUUUAAUCAAUUCAAAUAUUCUCAAUUAAUGUUCCUCAAAAGUAUAAAAAAAUACCUUAACAAUAUAGAAAAUCUAUCUUUGUGGAACGUUAUAUACCAAACCAUAUCCAAAUCCUACGGUUUUUAUAAAAUUAUAUCCAUUCGGUUUAUAUGGUAUAUACCAAAACCAAACCAUAUUGUCUAUUUCGGUUCGGUUCGGUUCAGUACGGUUCGGUUUUACCAUAUUGAACAGCCCUAACGGCUGCUGACUAGAUUUAGAAAAGGCACAAAAUAUAUAUAGUUGUGUCCCAAGCACUAGUGGACCUCAAAAAUGAUUAAAGCCCAACUGAUUCAAAGCAUUAUUCAACACGUUUGGUGAAAAACUCAGAGCCAACUUCGGAGAAACUAAGAAACUCGUCCUCCAGGUUUAAAUAAAAACAGAGCUUUCGUGAUUUCUAUGUUAUUGUUUUCUUUGUUGUGAAUGUUGUUCUCUGUUUUGCAGACGGCUGGACACAAGGAUCUUCUUGAAGAUGAUCCUUACCUGAAACAGAGACUGAGACUUCGUAACUCUUACAUCACAACUCUCAAUGUCUGUCAAGCUUACACUUUGAAGAGGAUCCGUGACCCGAGUUACAAUGUGACGCUACGUUACGUCCUCACAUCUCUAAGGAGAUUGCGGAAUCGAGCAAAGAACUCAUCGAGCUUAACCCGACUAGCGAGUACGCGCCUGGACUCGAAGAUACACUCAUCUUGACCAUGAAGGGUGUCGCUGCUGGUCUACAGAACACCGGUAGAGUAAAAACAGAGAUGAGUCUCCACUCUCCUUUUUAUAUUCCCUCUAAUAAUUGGAAAAUAAAAAAAAAUUGCGGUUGGAUUUCUUGAUUUGUUUUAUGUAAUCCACCGUCAAAGUGUCGAUCUUUGUGUACUAAUAACUCUUACGAGAUCAUGAACACAUGCUCUGUUUUUCUCGGAUGCAACAAAACAGAGCGGGAGAGAAUCUUCUUGUUUGUUUCUCUUACCAAGCGGUUUGAUUCAAAUAAUAAAUAAUAAACCAUUUUGGUUUAGUUUUGCCUCGUAGUGCUUUUGUUUGGUUCGGUUUGACUGUUUCUUUUUUUUAUUUUAUUGUUUCGAUUACGGUUCUUUGUCCUUUGUCCUUUGUCGUCUACUCAACUUUCACACAUGUCGACUCCCGAAAACGGCAGACAUGUUUGCUAAAAGAGGCCGUUGAAAAAGGAAAGUGGUGCAAAGAAAACGACACGGUGUUUAGGUCUCGUCUAUACUCUAUAGACACGCCUUGCAUUUUUUCGAUUCGGUAACGCCCCAAUUGCUGUAUUUAUUGCCGGGAAUUUAUAGCGUACAUGUACGGUAUACCUGUUUUUUACUAAGACGUACUUUUAUGCGUAAUAAGAGUACAUUUUUAGUUUAACUCUCAUAGGUCAAAAAGUUCACACUCCAAAAAGUCGUUGGCUGACAGUCACGCGCCUCUCAACUGAUUUUAAAGUAAGUAAAAGAUAUUCAGAAAUAUUUUUGCUAAAAGUUGAGGAAGGCCAAAGAAAAUGAUUAUCGACAAAAGGAAAAAUACUAGUAUAAAAUUCAACGAAUAAAUAGGUGUCAAUAGACCACGAGUACAGGGCACCGACUACAACCGCGGCAGUAUAGCACCGGCCAAACGACCGCAAAGUUCAUAACUUUUCUUCAUUUUCAGUUGUUCAAAAAAAAAGAGAAAACUUCAUUUGAUAACUUUUUUUAAGUUUAUUUUUACAAAAAUAGUAUUCAAAAAGAAAAAAUGAUCGGAAUAGAUUUUAUUAAAAUUUAAAUAUGCAUUCAUAUCUUUAAGAUUAACUAAUAUUGAUUUAGGAUUUAGAGUUAAUAGUUAAAGUUUUGUAGAUGAAUUUCAAAUUAAAAAAAAAUUAAAAUUUUCAAAAGAAAAAAAAUAUUUUGAUCAUUUUAUUUUUGAAAGCUAUUUUUAUGACAAAAACUUAAAAAUAGUUAUUCGAGAGAAUUGUCAAAAAAAAAAAAGUUAUAUUUAUUUAUGAGCGUUAUUUAUGAGCGUUAUUAUUUUCAUUUUGCAAUAAGUUAUUAGAUUUUAUCUGCUUCUCAAUCCCUUAAAGAGUGGCAACUUACAUAAUUAACAACAGUCGCUUGUGGCACAAACAUAAUCAGUCUCUAAUUAAUCCGUUUCUCCUUUUUCUGUACAGUAACGACUAAAGUAUUAUAACAAACCCAACUUUUAUAUCAAUCACAUUUCUCCCUCUCUUUAAUAGAAAGUUAAUAAUAACAGUCAAAUAUACUAUUUAAUUACAAAAGUGAGAUUAUAUACAAAAUUCUAGUAUUUUUAGAUGGAGUUAUUCAUGAAUUUGGUUAGAAUGUACGAAAAUAAAAUGCAAUAGUAGAAAAUGAAUAAAAAUUAUGUUAUUUAUUGAUGAAAAUGUUGUGAAAAAGAAGAGAACUAAAAUGACAAGAUGGUUCACUUUCUUUAACUUUAAAAGGAAAAAAAAAUGAAGGAUCAGAAUAGUCCUCUUUUGCCUGUUUCAGUAAAGCCCCUUUCUUCAGUCACAUACAAACUUCUCUUAUGUACACAAAGUAAUCUCCAACCAACCAGUAGCAUCAUCUCUCAAUACCUAAACAAGUGAAACUAGAAGAAGGAGCCUAUGCAGAAAAAUUUGAAUGGAAAGAAGGGAAGAGAGACAGAUCACAGGGCAAUAAAGAGGGGGGGGGGAAUGAAUGAACAAAUCAUAAAGAGCUGACACUCUACACUAAUGAGGUUCCCUGGUUAUGAAUCAUCUUCUUAAGAAGUUAAGUGGGAUUAUUGGAGAAGUUUCACAAGGGUAAUGAGGAGUCCUAGAAGAGUGAUUCUUUCUAGUAUUAACCGCUAUAGUGCCUCACAGAGUACUCCAAUACUUCUUUGC